Molecule: non-coding RNA, 67 nt
Filed under: Chryseobacterium gleum
Lineage: Bacteria; Pseudomonadati; Bacteroidota; Flavobacteriia; Flavobacteriales; Weeksellaceae
Description: Fluoride sequence
Rfam family: Fluoride riboswitch aptamer (crcB RNA motif)
Source: RNAcentral
AAGAAAAAAGGAAAUGGUGUUCUUCCUUACCCAACCGCUCUAAAGAGCUGAUGACGCCUGAUUAAAU